GACGAAGAUACUAAGGGCGCACGGCGGAUGCCUUGGCACAGGAAGUCGACGAAGGACGCGGCAAGCUGCGAUAAGCUGCGGGGAGGGGCAAACACCCUUUGAUCCGCAGGUCUCCGAAUGGGGCAACCCAGAUGGGGUCAUGCCCAUCUAUCCCCGCCUGAACAGAAUAGGGCGGCGGAAGGCAACCCGGGGAACUGAAACAUCUAAGUACCCGGAGGAAGAGAAAUCAACCGAGAUCGCGGGAGUAGCGGCGAGCGAAACCGCGCGAGCCCAAACCCAUGCACGUGUAAGCUUGAGGGCGUUGCUGCAUGAGGGGUUGCGGGACCGCGCAUCCCAUGGGCCUCAGACCAUGGGCGGAGUUACAAAGGGGCGCGCUAGCGGAACGGCCUGGGAAGGCCGGCGGAACAGGGUGAGAGCCCCGUACGCACAAGCGCGCCCCCUCCGAGCGGGGCACCCGAGUAGCGCCGGGCACGUGAAACCCGGUGCGAA
RNAcentral lists this ribosomal RNA (489 nucleotides) under Paraeggerthella hongkongensis. RNAcentral describes it as "Bacterial large subunit ribosomal RNA". It matches the Rfam family "Bacterial large subunit ribosomal RNA", at positions 1 to 442 of the family's 2925-position model. The record is from Rfam by way of RNAcentral. Lineage: Bacteria; Bacillati; Actinomycetota; Coriobacteriia; Eggerthellales; Eggerthellaceae.